RNAcentral lists this ribosomal RNA (250 nucleotides) under uncultured bacterium. RNAcentral's name for it is "partial 16S ribosomal RNA". It matches the Rfam family "Bacterial small subunit ribosomal RNA", at positions 524 to 774 of the family's 1533-position model. The record is from RNAcentral.
UACAUAGGGUGCAAGCGUUAUCCGGAAUUAUUGGGCGUAAAGCGUCUGUAGGCGGCGUGCCAAGUAGAAGAUGAAAGCCCAGGGCCCAACCCUGGUUACGUUUUCUAAACUGGUAUGCUAGAGAAAUGGAGAGGUGCAUGGAAUUUCUAGUGUAGGGGUAAAAUCCGUUGAUAUUAGAAGGAACGCUAAAAGCGAAGGCAGUGCACUGGUCAUUUCUGACGCUGAGAGACGAAAGCGUGGGGAGCAAACA